This 781-nucleotide ribosomal RNA is filed under the name uncultured Lactobacillus sp. RNAcentral's name for it is "bacterial SSU rRNA". It matches the Rfam family "Bacterial small subunit ribosomal RNA", at positions 28 to 776 of the family's 1533-position model. Lineage: Bacteria; Bacillati; Bacillota; Bacilli; Lactobacillales; Lactobacillaceae. The record is from RNAcentral.
GACGAACGCUGGCGGCGUGCCUAAUACAUGCAAGUCGAGCGAACAGAAGCAGCAGAAUUACUUCGGUAAGGACGCUGUGGAAGUUAGCGGCGGAUGGGUGAGUAACACGUGGGUAACCUACCCUUAAGACUGGGAUACCACUUGGAAACAGGUGCUAAUACCGGAUAGGAGUAUGAGCUGCAUGGCUUAUACUUUAAAGGCGGCGAAAGCUGUCACUAAAGGAUGGACCUGCGAUGCAUUAGCUAGUUGGUAAGGUAACGGCUUACCAAGGCAAUGAUGCAUAGCCGAGUUGAGAGACUGAUCGGCCACAUUGGGACUGAGACACGGCCCAAACUCCUACGGGAGGCAGCAGUAGGGAAUCUUCCACAAUGGACGCAAGUCUGAUGGAGCAACGCCGCGUGAGUGAAGAAGGGUUUCGGCUCGUAAAGCUCUGUUGGUAGUGAAGAAAGAUAGAGGUAGUAACUGGCCUUUAUUUGACGGUAAUUACUUAGAAAGUCACGGCUAACUACGUGCCAGCAGCCGCGGUAAUACGUAGGUGGCAAGCGUUGUCCGGAUUUAUUGGGCGUAAAGCGAGUGCAGGCGGUUCAAUAAGUCUGAUGUGAAAGCCUUCGGCUCAACCGGAGAAUUGCAUCAGAAACUGUUGAACUUGAGUGCAGAACAGGAGAGUGGAACUCCAUGUGUAGCGGUGGAAUGCGUAGAUAUAUGGAAGAACNCCAGUGGCGAAGGCGGCUCUCUGGUCUGCAACUGACGCUGAGGCUCGAAAGCAUGGGUAGCGAACAGG